CGUAUUUUCACGGAAACGUACGAACAUGUAUUGCUAGAUAUUUCAAAUUGACGUUUCUUCAAACAAAAACGUCACUUUUGACACUUGUUUGACACUGACAUAUCCAAUCCAUAUCGUUUCAAUAUCUAGUAUUUGACGUAUCUCAUUGUUCGAAUACGGCUGUAAAAGUGUACGUACUGAGGUUGACUGAAGUAGCAU
Molecule: long non-coding RNA, 198 nt
Organism: Cydia splendana
Lineage: Eukaryota; Metazoa; Arthropoda; Insecta; Lepidoptera; Tortricidae
Exons: 3
Source: RefSeq, a predicted model, not a curated record